ACACGGACCAAGGAGUCUAACAUGUGUGCGAGCCAUUGGGCGGACUAAACCCAAGGGCGCAGUGAAAGCGAAGGGCACGUUGGUGCCUGAGGGGCGAUCCCUUGCGGGCGCAGCCCCGGCGCUUUGCCUCGACCUCGCAUCGUGCAGAGCAGCAAGAGCAUACACGUUGGGACCCGAAAGAUGGUGAACUAUGCCUGGCCAGGUUGAAGUCAGGGGAAACCCUGAUGGAGGACCGUAGCGAUUCUGACGUGCAAAUCGAUCGUCGGAGCUGGGUAUAGGGGCGAAAGACUAAUCGAACCAUCUAGUAGCUGGUUCCUUCCGAAGUUUCCCUCAGGAUAGCUGGCGCUCAUUGAACGAGUUUCAUCCGGUAAAGCGAAUGAUUAGAAGUCUUGGGGACGAAACGUCCUCAACUUAUUCUCAAACUUUAAAUGGGUGAGAAGCGGGGCUUGCUUGAGUGAAGCCCCGCAGCGAAUCGGAGUGCCUAGUGGGCCAUUUUUGGUAAGCAG
This 506-nucleotide ribosomal RNA is filed under the name Macrocyclops albidus. Its description in RNAcentral is "partial 28S ribosomal RNA". It matches the Rfam family "Eukaryotic large subunit ribosomal RNA", at positions 659 to 1147 of the family's 3401-position model. The record is from RNAcentral. Lineage: Eukaryota; Metazoa; Arthropoda; Copepoda; Cyclopoida; Cyclopidae.